AUGUCUGUGGACUCUGAAAACUCAUGUGUUCUGCUGUCAUCACGUGACUCCAGGACUUCCUGCAUCUUUCAGACAGCAGACGAGAAGGAAGAGCUCCCAGGAGUGGGAGAGGAGAGCGUUCUGGAGAUGCUGAGUUACUCCAAGUUCUCAGACCUGGAGACAUGGCUGUGCAUGCCGUCCUCUCUGCUUCUGUCCAGACCGCUGGACUCCAUCCUCAUGUGCUCAUCUUCCUCCACCCUGUCCUCUUCACUUGCAUCCAACCUCUCCUCUACCUCGCUUCCCAUGUCCUCCUCUUCCUCUCCGACCCUCGACUCCCGCUUCUCCACCUGCAGCGAACCGGGAGAGCUCGGCACACUCCUCAGGUCAUCAGAGCAAGAGUCCACCUGCCUCACACCCGCUUUAGGAAAGGAGGUGACCUUUCUGUCCACACCGCUGCUGCCCGUUCUCUCCUCCACACCUGCUGCUGCUUCAGAGCCAAGCUCACAGCCGCCAACAGGAGACUCCGCCUCCCACAGUGGCGUCAGCAUCAGGAAACGACGGCGGCUUGCUGCCAGCCCUGGAGGACUCCACUGGAACUCUACAGGUUCAGUGCUGCGGGACUUCUGGUCACCUGAUCUGCCUCCAGGGAUGGCAGCCGGAGGUGGAGCCAGAGAACCAGGUGGAGGGGGAAGGAGCCUCCCUCUGAGCGAGAUGGGCAGAGGAACACCUGUGUGGGCAACAGGUGAACGGGUGGCUCUGAGGAAGACUGUGUCUGCUGACGAUGAGCUGCUGCGGCUGGCUGGUGGAGGUCCAAGACUGCUGAACCGAGCCGAGCAGAACCGAAAGAAGCUGCGCGGCAUCCAUAGCCUGGGAACAACAGGAAGAUACGACAGCAGAAAAAAGUGAGUCAUCCUGUUUUCAUCACCUCUCAACGCUGAAACGAUCUUGUGCGUUUCGCUACUCGGUUUCAUUUUGAAAACGUCCUGGAGCUCAUGAGUAAUAAGAUAUGAUUUAAUAAAACAGGAAGCAGAACCUCUGCAGGACUUUCUGAGGGAAUGAUUCGCUAACUAGAUUAUGUCACCACUCUUAUUGCGUUCCAAAUUAAAUGACGGAUACUUUUAGCUGAAGAAGUGAAACUUCACAGAUUGCAGAGAUGAGGUUUCUCCCUCCAUGGGAGCAAUUACUGAUAAUUUAUUUUACAAUCCCAGAUUAGGAUUAUAAUCUAGCGUUCCACGGUGAUGUUCAGAAAAGAAGAAAUCUGAGAAGCAUUAGGUUUGUCUUUCAAAGAUAAGAAUGUUUUUUCAACCCUCCUCAGCUACAGAAGAAGUUAUUAAACUAGAAUUCACAGAAGGUUUUAAAUCCAAUCUGCUGUUAGAUGUUCAGAUUCUGGUUUUCGGUGUUUUUUGGGCUCAGGUUUGUUGCUUGGGCUUAUGUCCACUAGUUUGGGUCCUGUUUAAUCCAGCUUUUUUCUUUCUCCUCACUCAAAUGAACACAUAAUCCCACAUUUUUGUUCCGUCUGCAGUCCUCAACCUCCUCCUGCUCUGAGCUCAUGUCGGUGCAUGUUUUUUCAUCCUUUUUUUAAAAUCAUUUGUGUGGUUUAUACACCUGCCUCUGGUGAAAAUGAUAUUAACCACUGAAUCGUGUUGCUCACAGAACCAGGUCCACUCUCUGCUUUGGUUCUGUCCGUAUCGGGUUAAUUUUUCUGAAACGUUGGGUCUACUGGCACCAGGACUCACAGGUGCAGAAUUCCAGAACCUUUGGAGACGCUGAUUCCACUCAGAAAUUUCAUAAACGUUGUUUUCCUGCUCUUCGCAGCAGCUCCAUCUUCAGCUCGUGGGGUUUGUGAGAGCACCGCAUUCAGCACUCACUCAGACAUUUAGGGGCCCAAGGUAGCUAUUAAGAAUAAUGGCCUCUGGCUACCUGUUACCAUGGUGACAGAGGAAAAGGAAAAGAGGCAGAUAUCCAGGAGCUGAUGAAGUGAGGAGAACGUGCUCAUCUGUCUCCUCCGAGAACAAAAGAAGCUCUCAGUUAACGUGUGAUUAUCUGCUGAAUAUGGAUUAUAAGGGUUUAGAUUACAGCCUGAGCUGAGAUUAAUCAGGUGAAAGAAAUUUGUUGUUCAGGGUUAGCCUAACACUACUGGGUUUGUUCACGGCUUUGAUAUGCAAACCCAAAGUGUUUACAAUUAGAAACACUUUAGUUUUACACUUGGUACACACAUAGUAAAGGUGCUGAGUCAGGCUUUCUAUGAUUUAUUGAAUGUUUCAACAUGGAAAUCUUCAACCAAAAGCAAUGGUGGUUUCUUUUUGUGCCAGGUUUAGAAAAUGUUGUUGUUGUUUGUUAGACCUUGCAGAGUCAUGAACUUGUUUUCAUAAAAGUGUACCAGAGCACGGAGAAGUCACCGGUUUUCAUUUUCUGUUCUACCUCUCUGGUGGUCUGCAUCGUCUCCUCUCUCUAAUUUACCAAUUUAUUCUGUAAAAUCAGUGGAACCAAAAUGAUCAAAAAAGUCAGAAAGCUUAAGCUUCAGCAAACGGAAAGUUUCCUUGAUAUGACUAAACAUCAGUCAUCAGUCUGUCAGAAUCUUACAUCUAAUAAACUAGAUGUCUGAUUCUACUUAAGUGGUUACAAACUCCUGAAAGAAACGAGGCGUUAAAAUAGGUAAACCUUAAUCUACAGGUUAGGAAAUAACUCGACACAAUGAAACGAUCUCUGACUUAGCUGACCCGAAUACCUUCCUCCAUUAGCUUGUUUGUGUGGAGAUCAUUUUUUAAAUGCUUCUACCAGGAAGAGCUUCAAUGAUUCAGACGUUGCAACUAUUUCAUCAUGUGACCCAUCAGCUGUUUCUGCAGGCUUUCGUCUGAACCACGACUCUAUACAUUACAGCCAGCAGUGUUGUCUGAUUUGUUUGUUCAGAAAGUGCCCCUGAACCAGAACAUCAGCUGCACAUUUACCUUCAGUUUCCAUCCGAGUUUGAAACGUUCAUCAGAAAAGAAAUGUGUGGUGAAAGUUUUCUGUUCAACGGUUUCUCUGGGUUUAUGAGUGCCGUGCUUCUAUUUAGAUUCUGGAGAAUUAGACAUUUUGUUCUCAGCCAAUUUCAAAUUGGGUCUUUAAAUAAACCAAACCUGACUUGGUAGACCUGGUUGAACCCUUUUUCUGUGAUUUUUGCGUGUCAUCCUUGCUUUUGUUGCUGAAUCUGUUUGUGCAGGAUAGAAGGUGAGAGAGGACUUUCAUUAAGGACCUGUUUGAACUUCACACACUAACACACAGGCUGAAACAAUGAGUGGCUUCAGUCGUGACUGGAAGUUUUGAGUCAGAGGCUCAUUAAAGCAGAUUUCUGUAGAACUCCCACUCUCUCUGCAGCUUUCAACUCUUCUUUCAUCCCUCCAUCGCUCUCCCCUCCUCAGACUGCUGCAGCUCUAAUCCAAGGCUGCGGUUGUCAUCCUGUAAUUCAUCUUUUUUCACUCUCUCUCAAAGACAAUCAUUAAAGUGGUCAUUGUAUUUCUAAUGGGCCAUUGAGAGGCUCUUUUUAGUUUCAAAACCUCACAGAAACAGGAGUUUGCUGACGUCACAAAGCAGCCUGAUAAAGCUGUUUUGUUGUUAUAGUGAUUACUUGGAUAAAGUGAUGCAAUCAUUCUCAUCUUUCAUGAACUCCAUCUUAUCUGCCGCAGAAACACCAGCGCUGGUUUGGAUCAGCAGGUUCUAGAGCAAAACACUUUGGCUGAAUCAAGAUUUAAGUGGUAAAUAACUGGUCGUUUUCUUUCUCAUCACAGCUGGAAAACAGAAAACAUAACCAGUGAUUGUCUUUCUUUACACCUGAGUGGUGUUUCUAAUAGUUACACUACUCGCAAGUCCAGCGUUGCAGAAAUAUUGCCACCAAGCUUGGCGGCAUGAAAGCCGUAUAAUUCCUGCAUCACUAUGUAUUACUCUGGUUUGCUGACAGUGUUUCUUAUGAAAGUGGCUUUAGAUGCAGAUCAAUGGGGAUGAUUUCAAUUAAGUUGAUUUAUAAAGUACCAGGUGAUGACAGAAGUCAUACCAAAGCGGUACACAGUAUUCAAGUCAUUUCAGGUCCAGGUUCAGGCUAUUUGACUGCAAUAAAUGUAAUGGAAUUUUAACAAAACUAGAUUAAUUUAAAAUGCCAAUGAGUCAAAAUUCCCCUAGACAAAUUAACUAGGAGAUUGGAUCUAACCAUCACUUUAACAGAAUUGAUAUGGUCCCCCAUUCUGACCAGCACAGUACGAAGGGCGACAGUGGAAAACUCCCUUUUCCAAAAAAGUUCAAAUGAAUCCAACUGGACUUCUUUGGUUUCUCGAAGAUGUUUUGCUUCUCAUACGAGGAGCAUUGUCAGUUCUGACUGGAAUAUGAAAGUGUCAGGCUUAUAAUAUUUAGCUGAUUAUUGUUGCUUACUGAGCAGAAACUACCUAUGAAUGCCCCUCCUCCCUAGCCCCUGAUGAAACCUACAUUAAAUAGAAGAGGAGGACUCAAGUUUCACCUUUGCAUCACCUUUGACCUUUCGCCUUCAGAACUGCCUAAAUUUACGUGGCAUUGAUUCAACAAGGUGCUGAAUGCAUUCUUUAGAAAUGUUGGCCCAUGUUGAUAGGAUGGCAUCUUGCAGUUGAUGAAGAUUUGUGGGAUGAACAUCCAAGGCACGCAGCUCCCGUUCCACCACAUCCCAAAGAGGCUCUAUCGGGUUGAGAUCUGGUGACUGUGGUACAGUCACCGUUGUAGUGCAGUGAACUCACUGUCAUGUUCAAGAAACCAGUUUGAAAUGAUUGGAGCUUUAUGCAUGGUGCAUUAUAACAAUAACCCAAAUAAUAAUCAAAUCUACUGAGUCAACAGAAAUUACCUAAAAAAAUUCUUGGAAUUUAAAUUGAUGAGAGGGUAAGUUGGAAAAUACAUGUCGACUAUAUAAGUAAUAAGAUCUAUAAGUCCAUCGGCAUAAUAAGGAAGUUUAGCCAUAUUGUUUCUACAAAGUGUCUUCCCACGUUGUAGCCUUGUGUAUCUGCAUCUCUCUUAUUGCAAUAUGAUUUGGGGUAGUUCUUUUCCACUGCUCUCAACUAGGGCUGCCACAAAUGACUAUUUUAGUAGUCGACUAAUCGCCAGUUUUGUUGACGAUUAGUCGCCUUCUCAUGUCAUUUAUAAAAGUUUAGCUUAUUGCACCAGGAUGCUCUAAUAUACCCAUCAUUAGCUUCUAGUUUGGCUAUGUGCCUUCUAAUAAUGAAGACAAGAUGAUAGCUUAUCAAACAACUUUUAAUUAACUUUGUAACCUGUUAAUACAAGUGCCACAGUCAAAUGAAGGUAAGCACCUAAAACCAAAAAUAAAUUGUGCACAAAAAUUACUUGUGUUCGCGAGAGGCAUGGUGGCAAGGUUGAAGCGCCUCAUCUUCCAAUCUUAACUCAGGGAAAGGCAGAACAUACUGAGGUUACGCCUCUGUAGCACGGCUGGUCCACACAUCAGCAUAAAUGUUAAUUCCUUGAUUGCUCAGUCAGCAACCUUUUUAUUUUAGCAAAAAAGGCAUUAUAUUCUAAUAUUUACUUUAUUUGUGUCCAGAGAGAAACAGAAUCAGAUGCAUCGCUCACAUGCGCACACACACAAUUUUAAGGUUAUUUCAUUUUUCUUUUCCAUCAUGGUAGUGAAAUGAGAUUGGCCUUGUGGGUAGUUGUCGCGGUAUCCUGGGUUGAGCUGCUUGAUCAUCUCUCAAUCAAUCAAUCAAUCAAAUUUUAUUUCUAAAGUGCUUUUCAAACAAAGUGUUAUUCAAAGUGCUUUACAAAAUGACCCCAGAUUCCCAUAACAGGUUAAAAACAUUAACAAACAUAUGCAAUCACACGCACACACACACAGACUCACACACACACAC
Long non-coding RNA from Nothobranchius furzeri (turquoise killifish), 5831 nucleotides. NCBI's taxonomy places the organism in Eukaryota, Metazoa, Chordata, Actinopteri, Cyprinodontiformes, Nothobranchiidae. The record is from Ensembl.